This 253-nucleotide ribosomal RNA is filed under the name uncultured bacterium. Its description in RNAcentral is "partial 16S ribosomal RNA". It matches the Rfam family "Bacterial small subunit ribosomal RNA", at positions 524 to 776 of the family's 1533-position model. The record is from RNAcentral.
AACGUAGGACGCAAGCGUUAUCCGGAGUUACUGGGCGUAAAGCGCGAGCAGGCGGCUCGACAAGUUCGCUGUGAAAGCUCCCGGCUCAACCGGGCGAGGCCAGUGGAAACUAUCGAGCUGGAGGGCAGUAGAGGCAGGCGGAAUUCCGGGUGGAGUGGUGAAAUGCGUAGAGAUCCGGAGGAACACCAGAGGCGAAGGCGGCCUGCUGGGCUGCACCUGACGCUGAGCCGCGAAAGCCAGGGGAGCGAACGGG